Non-coding RNA from Nerophis lumbriciformis (worm pipefish), 119 nucleotides. NCBI's taxonomy places the organism in Eukaryota, Metazoa, Chordata, Actinopteri, Syngnathiformes, Syngnathidae. The record is from RefSeq and is a predicted model, not a curated record.
CUCCAGUGAUGAUUCAGCCAUGCUAAUACUGAUGCACCAGACAGGUGUAAUUCAUGUCUGGAUGCAAGUGAGUUCGACACAACUUCUCACACUGAUGGUUUCAGUGUGUGCUGAGGAGA